RNAcentral lists this ribosomal RNA (541 nucleotides) under uncultured bacterium. Its description in RNAcentral is "partial 16S ribosomal RNA". It matches the Rfam family "Bacterial small subunit ribosomal RNA", at positions 355 to 914 of the family's 1533-position model. The record is from RNAcentral.
UGGGGAAUAUUGGACAAUGGGCGCAAGCCUGAUCCAGCAAUGCCGCGUGAGUGAUGAAGGCCUUAGGGUUGUAAAGCUCUUUCGCACGCGACGAUGAUGACGGUAGCGUGAGAAGAAGCCCCGGCUAACUUCGUGCCAGCAGCCGCGGUAAUACGAAGGGGGCUAGCGUUGUUCGGAAUUACUGGGCGUAAAGGGCGCGUAGGCGGCCUGUUUAGUCAGAAGUGAAAGCCCCGGGCUCAACCUGGGAAUAGCUUUUGAUACUGGCAGGCUUGAGUUCCGGAGAGGAUGGUGGAAUUCCCAGUGUAGAGGUGAAAUUCGUAGAUAUUGGGAAGAACACCGGUGGCGAAGGCGGCCAUCUGGACGGACACUGACGCUGAGGCGCGAAAGCGUGGGGAGCAAACAGGAUUAGACACCCUGGUAGUCCACGCCGUAAACGAUGAAUGCUAGACGUCGGGGUGCAUGCACUUCGGUGUCGCCGCUAACGCAUUAAGCAUUCCGCCUGGGGAGUACGGCCGCAAGGUUAAAACUCAAAUGAAUUGAC